RNAcentral lists this ribosomal RNA (437 nucleotides) under uncultured bacterium. RNAcentral describes it as "bacterial SSU rRNA". It matches the Rfam family "Bacterial small subunit ribosomal RNA", at positions 343 to 797 of the family's 1533-position model. The record is from RNAcentral.
UGGAGGCAGCAGUAAGGAAUCUUGCGCAAUGGGCGAAAGCCUGACGUAGCCAUGCCGCGUGAAUGAUGAAGGUCUUAGGAUUGUAAAAUUCUUUCACCGGGGACGAUAAUGACGGUACCCGGAGAAGAAGCCCCGGCUAACUUCGUGCCAGCAGCCGCGGUAAUACGAAGGGGGCUAGCGUUGCUCGGAAUUACUGGGCGUAAAGGGCGCGUAGGCGGAUAGUUUAGUCAGAGGUGAAAGCCCAGGGCUCAACCUUGGAAAUGCCUUUGAUACUGGCUAUCUUGAGUACGGGAGAGGUGUGUGGAACUCCGAGUGUAGAGGUGAAAUUCGUAGAUAUUCGGAAGAACACCGGUGGCGAAGGCGACACACUGGCCCGUUACUGACGCUGAGGCGCGAAAGCGUGGGGAGCAAACGGGAUUAGAGACCCCGGUAGUCCC